This 680-nucleotide ribosomal RNA is filed under the name Rhizopogon oswaldii. Its description in RNAcentral is "LSU rRNA". It matches the Rfam family "Eukaryotic large subunit ribosomal RNA", at positions 34 to 685 of the family's 3401-position model. The record is from RNAcentral. Lineage: Eukaryota; Fungi; Basidiomycota; Agaricomycetes; Boletales; Rhizopogonaceae.
UUAAGCAUAUCAAUAAGCGGAGGAAAAGAAACUAACAAGGAUUCCCCUAGUAACUGCGAGUGAAGCGGGAAAAGCUCAAAUUUUGAAUCUGGCGGUCUUUUGGCCGUCCGAGUUGUAAUCUAGAGAAGCGUUUUCCGCGCUGGACCGUGUAUAAGUUUCCUGGAAUGGAACGUCGUAGAGGGUGAGAAUCCCGUCUUUGACACGGACUACCAGGGCUAUGUGAUGCGCUCUCGACGAGUCGAGUUGUUUGGGAAUGCAGCUCAAAUAGGGUGGUAAAUUCCAUCUAAAGCUAAAUACAGGCGAGAGACCGAUAGCGAACAAGUACCGUGAGGGAAAGAUGAAAAGAACUUUGGAAAGAGAGUUAAACAGUACGUGAAAUUGCUGAAAGGGAAACGCUUGAUGUCAGUCGCGUCGGCCGGGGAUCAGCCUUGCUUUACCGCUCGGCGUACUUCCUGGUCGACGGGUCAGCAUCAGUUUUGACCGUCGGAAAAGGACUGGAGGAAUGUGGCACUCUUUCGGGAGUGUGUUAUAGACUCUGCUCGAAUACGAUGGUUGGGACUGAGGAACUCAGCACGACCUUAGGGUUCGGGGCUUCGGCCCACGUUUGCGUGCUUAGGAUGCUGGCAUAAUGGCCUUAAGCGACCCGUCUUGAAACACGGACCAAGGAGUCUAACGUGCAU